GAUGAACGCUGGCGGCGUGCCUAAUACAUGCAAGUCGAGCGAACGGACGAGAAGCUUGCUUCUCUGAUGUUAGCGGCGGACGGGUGAGUAACACGUGGAUAACCUACCUAUAAGACUGGGAUAACUUCGGGAAACCGGAGCUAAUACCGGAUAAUAUUUUGAACCGCAUGGUUCAAAAGUGAAAGGCGGUCUUGCUGUCACUUAUAGAUGGAUCCGCGCUGCAUUAGCUAGUUGGUAAGGUAACGGCUUACCAAGGCAACGAUGCAUAGCCGACCUGAGAGGGUGAUCGGCCACACUGGAACUGAGACACGGCCCAGACUCCUACGGGAGGCAGCAGUAGGGAAUCUUCCGCAAUGGGCGAAAGCCUGACGGAGCAACGCCGCGUGAGUGAUGAAGGUCUUCGGAUCGUAAAACUCUGUUAUUAGGGAAGAACAUAUGUGUAAGUAACUGUGCACAUCUUGACGGUACCUAAUCAGAAAGCCACGGCUAACUACGUG
RNAcentral lists this ribosomal RNA (497 nucleotides) under uncultured bacterium. RNAcentral's name for it is "partial 16S ribosomal RNA". It matches the Rfam family "Bacterial small subunit ribosomal RNA", at positions 28 to 507 of the family's 1533-position model. The record is from RNAcentral.